RNAcentral lists this ribosomal RNA (460 nucleotides) under uncultured bacterium. RNAcentral's name for it is "partial 16S ribosomal RNA". It matches the Rfam family "Bacterial small subunit ribosomal RNA", at positions 338 to 795 of the family's 1533-position model. The record is from RNAcentral.
CCUACGGGUGGCAGCAGGGAGGAAUAUUGGGCAAUGGGCGGAAGCCGGAACCAGCCAAGUAGCGUGCAGGAUGACGGCCCUACGGGUUGUAAACUGCUUUUAUACGGGAAUAACGCGCCUUACGUGUAGGGCUUUGCAUGUACCGUAUGAAUAAGGACCGGCUAAUUCCGUGCCAGCAGCCGCGGUAAUACGGAAGGUCCGGGCGUUAUGCGGAUUUAUUGGGUUUAAAGGGAGCGUAGGCCGCAUGUCAAGCGUGCUGUGAAAUUUCCGGGCUCAACCCGGGCCUUGCAGCGCGAACUGGCGUGCUUGAGUCCGCGGCAAGCAGGCGGAAUUCGUCGUGUAGCGGUGAAAUGCUUAGAUAUGACGAAGAACCCCGAUUGCGAAGGCAGCUUGCUGCAGCGGAACUGCCGCUGAUGCUCGAAAGCGCGGGUAUCGAACAGGAUUAGAUACCCGUGUAGUC